Long non-coding RNA from Triticum aestivum (bread wheat), 1399 nucleotides. RefSeq lists it as uncharacterized. The record is from RefSeq and is a predicted model, not a curated record. NCBI's taxonomy places the organism in Eukaryota, Viridiplantae, Streptophyta, Magnoliopsida, Poales, Poaceae. The transcript has 2 exons.
CCCAAUCCGACUCCACCUUAUUCCGCCGGCGGCACCCGCUACGCCCGUGGCCACAAAAAAGAUGCCCGACGACCCCUCCUCACCACCACUCGUUCCCUUACCCUUAUCCUCUCCACCUCCUUCCUUCCGCCGGGGUCGCGCCCACCCCACACUGCCCGACGCCCCUCCUCAAAGCGAGGAGCGAGCAGCACCCCGGCCUCCCUCCCGUGGCGAUGCGCAGCACCCAGACACCCCUCCCCCGGCGCCCUCACCUUCUGCCUUCGGGGGUCACCGGAUCCCGACGGGAUCUAGUCAAGCCCUGCUCGCCAAAAGACGGCGGCGGCGCGGCGGCUGCACCCCGGCCCCCCUCCCCCAGUGGCUUUACCCCGGCCCCCUCCCCCAACAGCAGUACCCGCUGCCGCCCCGACCAAAUCACAUCCUCGGCGGAGUAUGCGCCGGAUCAGCCGAUGGGGAGGGCCGUCGCUACCAUGUCUCCCCUCCAGAUGGUCUUCUUGCGACGACCAGCUGCUGGCGAUUUGGCCGUGACGGCGAGCCCAACCUCGGAUCUGUCCGUGACGGUUAACCCCCGGAUCUGUCUCCAUCUUCCUCCCCCUCCAUUGGUUGCUGGCCGUGACGGUGAUCCCAACCUCGGAGAGGAAGGAGCACGAGCUGCGGCAGAGUAAGCCCCCGCAGCCGUGGCUCUGCCCCCGGUCGAUCCAAGGGCUCCCGUGCAGUCCACUACCUCGGUGCACGCAGCACGUCGGCACCCCCCCUCGCGAGAUUCGGCGGGCUGUAGGUCGUCGCUUGCCGCCGUGAGGUCGGCUUCCGAGCGGCAUGGCACAGUGCCACAAGUUCUCCUCUCCCUCAUCACCUCCACCUCCAUGGCUGGUCCCCGGAUUUCACUAUGGAAAAAAUGCGCCAUGUUUCCUGGAGUUGGCUCAAUUCCUCUCCCCCGACGAGGAUCCCGUGCUCCCCUACCCGAACCACGCAUCCAGGAGCUCCUCCCGGCCCACGGCGAUCUCCUGUGCGCGGCACCACCACUCUUCCUUCGAAUCAAGGCAUAAAGUUUGGAGCAUGUGAACAAGCAGUGCAAAUGGUGCAUUUUUUGUUUGAGAAUUUUGUGUAUAAAAAUUACAGGGACUCAUUUUGUGUUUGGGAUGAGACUAUUCAAAUAAUGUAGUUUGAAGUAUGUGCACAUGCAGUGCAGUCCGGGCUUUUUGUGCUUGGGGAUUUUACGUAAAGCAUGAAAAUUGCAGUGACUCAUUUGAAUGCAGUUCCGGGGGAAACAUGGUGCUAUUGAGACUUUAGCAUGCAGUUUAGACCAUGUGGACAUGCAGUGCAAAAUGGUGUGUUUAGAAACGUGUAUUUUUCGUAGUCUUUGUAAAGUUUUGGCCUAUUUGUGGACUCCCAUUUGAUUGCA